UCAGCAUCUCAGCCUUUUGGCAAAGAACAAGCAGUUUUGGCACCAAGGAGAGGGUUUCAGGGCUGGCUCUGGCCUUCCCAGUGCUGACCUGAUAUUGCAGUACCUCCAGGCCUGGUGCUAGUUCCCUGUGGAAGGAGGUGGGGGAAAGGUUCCCAUCAGCAUUUUUGGCAUCAGCGGAGGGUGUUGAAGCUUGCUCCAGCUUCUCCACGUGCUGGCCUGGUAUUGCAGUACCUCUAGGCCUGGUGCUUAUUCC
This 253-nucleotide small nuclear RNA is filed under the name Alligator sinensis (Chinese alligator). Its description in RNAcentral is "U2 spliceosomal RNA". It matches the Rfam family "U2 spliceosomal RNA". From Rfam's summary of the family: U2 is a small nuclear RNA (snRNA) component of the spliceosome (involved in pre-mRNA splicing). The record is from Rfam by way of RNAcentral. Lineage: Eukaryota; Metazoa; Chordata; Crocodylia; Alligatoridae.